CAAUGUCUAUUAAGAAAAGAAUCAAAAAAAUAUGUUAAGCGUCUUCAGCUUAUUACCUUUGCAAUUCCAGAAGCAGCUACAGAACCUGAAAACAAUAGUAAAAAAAUCCAAGAGCAUAUCUACAUCCAACGAACAGAACUCAGGAGUCAUGCUCGGUACUAUGGUUAAUAAAUGAAUGUCCAAAAAGGAUUCAGAAUGGGAUGCCAAGAAUAAAAGGAAGCCUCCAUCAUUCACAUAUAGCAGGAUGCUGAGUUCAAAAAAGGAUAAGGUGAGGAUCCUAAUAUUACCUUUAUAUGACCAAACUUGAUUUCUUUGCCUACCAGUCAUUCGUAUUAAGGUGGUUACAUUUGCGUGCAUAGCGCAUGCAUACGAGCAUGCGAAAGCACAUAACUAGGUUAUUAUAUAUUCCAAGUCCCAAAAACCACAAAACCUUAUACCCAAAAGUUGAGCACAACUAAAGAAAUCAAAAUAGAG
This 474-nucleotide unclassified non-coding RNA is filed under the name Hevea brasiliensis (rubber tree). Lineage: Eukaryota; Viridiplantae; Streptophyta; Magnoliopsida; Malpighiales; Euphorbiaceae. The record is from RNAcentral.